RNAcentral lists this ribosomal RNA (500 nucleotides) under uncultured bacterium. RNAcentral's name for it is "partial 16S ribosomal RNA". It matches the Rfam family "Bacterial small subunit ribosomal RNA", at positions 30 to 523 of the family's 1533-position model. The record is from RNAcentral.
AUUGAACGCUGGCGGAAUGCUUUACACAUGCAAGUCGAACGGCAGCACGGACUUCGGUCUGGUGGCGAGUGGCGAACGGGUGAGUAAUACAUCGGAACGUGCCCAGUCGUGGGGGAUAACGUAGCGAAAGCUACGCUAAUACCGCAUACGAUCUAAGGAUGAAAGCGGGGGAUCGCAAGACCUCGCGCGAUUGGAGCGGCCGAUGGCAGAUUAGGUAGUUGGUGGGGUAAAGGCCUACCAAGCCGACGAUCUGUAGCUGGUCUGAGAGGACGACCAGCCACACUGGGACUGAGACACGGCCCAGACUCCUACGGGAGGCAGCAGUGGGGAAUUUUGGACAAUGGGCGCAAGCCUGAUCCAGCCAUUCCGCGUGCAGGAUGAAGGCCCUCGGGUUGUAAACUGCUUUUGUACGGAACGAAAAGGCUCUGGUUAAUACCCGGGGCUCAUGACGGUACCGUAAGAAUAAGCACCGGCUAACUACGUGCCAGCCGCCGCCGUAA